ACCGCGAUCCGAUGAUUAUGGAUAUCUUCCAAAGGUCCCUUAAAACUGCAUAAGCGUCUGACCUCUAUAAAUAUCCACAUGAGGCCUCGAUAUGAUCAGAAAUUUUUUGAUCUCAUCGAGGUGCUAGCUUUCUUAUAGAGAUCGCAUCUUGAUGGUUGAAAACUCUUCAUUUCUCUUAAGUCCCUCUUAGACAAGAAGAAGAGAAUAGGAGGAUGAAGAUCUCUAUGCUAGAGAUCAUAAGAAGAACAUUUUUUUUCUCUUUCUUCGUAAAACACAUGCAUAAAAUCUCUAUGCAAGAGAUCUAAAAAAAUAUAUCCAACUCUUGGACAAAGGAGAGAGAAAUAUUCAUGUCCCAAACUU
This 360-nucleotide long non-coding RNA is filed under the name Elaeis guineensis (African oil palm). RNAcentral describes it as "long non-coding RNA (EGUI_LNC050564)". Lineage: Eukaryota; Viridiplantae; Streptophyta; Magnoliopsida; Arecales; Arecaceae. The record is from RNAcentral.